CGCAUCUGUGCAUGCAGCAUUCAAUAAGCGGAGGAAAAGAAACUAACAAGGAUUCCCCUAGUAACGGCGAGUGAAGCGGGAAGAGCUCAAAUUUGAAAUCUUAAAGGGUUUCCCUUUACGAAUUGUAGUUUAAAGAAGUGUUUUCUGUUGAGGUUUUGGUAAAAGUUCUUUGGAAUAGGACAUCAUAGAGGGUGAGAAUCCCGUAUUUGACCUUUACUUUCAACUUUGUGAUACACUUUCAAAGAGUCGGAUUGUUUGGGAAUGCAGUCCAAAAUGGGUGGUAAAUUUCAUCUAAAGCUAAAUAUUGGCGAGAGACCGAUAGCGAACAAGUACCGUGAGGGAAAGAUGAAAAGAACUUUGAAAAGAGAGUUAAACAGUACGUGAAAUUGUCAAAAGGGAAGCGUUUGACACCAGUGUUGUUUUUCUGAAAAUCAAUUAAAGAACUGUUUAUGCUAAGUUGUUUAGACUUUAUCAGCUAACUGUUUAGUUUUGAGCUUUUCUUUAAUGCACCUUUCAGUUAACAAGUCAACAUCAAUUUCUUUUGCUGUAAAAAAGCUUGAGGAAGGUGGCUUGAGAUUCGUCUUAAGUGUUUAUAGCCUCUUGCCUAUGCAGUCGGAGAGAUUGAGGUCUGCAGCGUAGAUCCUUCGGGGCUAAAUGCAUUUGUGCUAAGUUAUAGCAUUUUAUAGACAACUUGUUGACUAUGAUUUGUCUUGUAGCUUACUCGCUUAUGUUAUUUUACCUACGCUUAGGAUGUUGAACGCGCACAGAGUCUC
This 773-nucleotide ribosomal RNA is filed under the name uncultured Neocallimastigales. RNAcentral's name for it is "partial large subunit ribosomal RNA". It matches the Rfam family "Eukaryotic large subunit ribosomal RNA", at positions 26 to 614 of the family's 3401-position model. The record is from RNAcentral. Lineage: Eukaryota; Fungi; Neocallimastigomycota; Neocallimastigomycetes; Neocallimastigales.